AUUGAACGCUGGCGGCAUGCUUUACACAUGCAAGUCGAACGGCAGCACGGGCUUCGGCCUGGUGGCGAGUGGCGAACGGGUGAGUAAUAUAUCGGAACGUACCCAGCAGUGGGGGAUAACGUUGCGAAAGUUACGCUCAUACCGCAUACGAUCUAUGGAUGAAAGCAGGGGACCGCAAGGCCUUGUGCUCCUGGAGCGUCCGAUAUCUGAUUAGCUAGUUGGUGAGGUAAAGGCUCACCAAGGCGACGAUCAGUAGCUGGUCUGAGAGGACGACCAGCCACACUAGAACUGAGACACGGUCCAGACUCCUACGGGAGGCAGCAGUGGGGAAUUUUGGACAAUGGGCGCAAGCCUGAUCCAGCAAUGCCGCGUGAGUGAAGAAGGCCUUCGGGUUGUAAAGCUCUUUUGUCAGGGAAGAAACGGUAGAGGCUAAUAUCCUUUGCUAAUGACGGUACCUGAAGAAUAAGCACCGGCUAACUACGUG
Molecule: ribosomal RNA, 484 nt
Filed under: uncultured bacterium
Lineage: Bacteria
Description: partial 16S ribosomal RNA
Rfam family: Bacterial small subunit ribosomal RNA
Source: RNAcentral